CGCAUGGAGCAGUCUGACGGAGCGACGCCGCGUGAGCGAAGAAGGUCUUCGGAUCGUAAAGCUCUGUUGUCAGGGAAGAACAAGUACCGGAGUAACUACCGGUACCUUGACGGUACCUGACCUAGAAAGCCACGGCUAACUACGUGCCAGCAGCCGCGGUAAAAG
Molecule: ribosomal RNA, 165 nt
Filed under: uncultured compost bacterium
Lineage: Bacteria
Description: partial 16S ribosomal RNA
Rfam family: Bacterial small subunit ribosomal RNA
Source: RNAcentral